Molecule: ribosomal RNA, 460 nt
Filed under: uncultured bacterium
Lineage: Bacteria
Description: partial 16S ribosomal RNA
Rfam family: Bacterial small subunit ribosomal RNA
Source: RNAcentral
CCUACGGGGGACUGUAGUGAGGAAUAUUGGUCAAUGGGCGCGAGCCUGAACCAGCCAAGUAGCGUGAAGGAUGACUGCCCUACGGGUUGUAAACUUCUUUUAUAAAGGAAUAAAGUGAGGCACGUGUGCCUUUUUGUAUGUACUUUAUGACUAAGGAUCGGCUAACUCCGUGCCAGCAGCCGCGGUAAUACGGAGGAUCCGAGCGUUAUCCGGAUUUAUUGGGUUUAAAGGGAGCGUAGAUGGGUUGUUAAGUCAGUUGUGAAAGUUUGCGGCUCAACCGUACAAUUGCAAUUGAUACUGGCAGCCUUGAGUACAGUUGAGGUAGGCGGAAUUCGUGGUGUAGCGGUGAAAUGCUGAGAUAUCACGAAGAACUCCGAUUGCGAAGGCAGCUUACUAAACUGCCACUGACAUUGAUGCUCGAAAGUGUGGGGAUCAAACAGGAGUAGAUACCCUAGUAGUC